AAACAGUAGUAGUAUUAUUAUUAUUAUUAUGGAAUAAGGUUUCAUCAGAAAGUAUGAUUUUUCUACUGACCUAAGAACUUUAUCAGGUAGGUACUCAUCUCUCUACUUUUAGCAAGCUUGUUAUUUUUUUCCCCUUUGUUGAACAUUAAUUAAUCUUGAUGACCCAAAUAAGAAAGAUUGGAUUUUGAUUUCUCCAGUCUAUUUUUUGUUGUUAUUUUUCGUUUUGCUUCUUGGGGUCUUGAUUUGGGGUGUAUUUUCCAGAUAAUAAAGGUAAACAAUUCUUGUUUCCUCAGCUGACACAGUUUUGUUUAUAUGUGCCUUUUCUUUUGGAAUUUCAGCUUCUUUUGUUCUGUUUUAUCUUUCAUAUUUGCAGGUAAAAUAGGAGCAUUUGUUUCCUAUGCAGUGUAUGAGCAGAAAUUUGCGGUGAAAAAGGAACAAACUUUAAGGGUUUGAAUAGCUGAAUUUACCAAUUUUUUGUUCUCGGAGUUUUAGUUGGACGCAUGGUGUGGGUUUAUGGGAGUAGUUGAUGUUAGAUUUGAUGAAAUAAGCAGAAAUUACCUGGAAAUGUCUGAAAGUUCUUGAAAAAGAUACUGGUUUUGUGGAUAAGUUACUGUAUAUAACAAAAUGUCUCUGAUUCCUGAUAAAAGCAUGUUACCUUCAAGGUCUCUGUCCUGUCUAAUAGCCAUUUCUGUUUUCCUUUUGAUAAUUUCUUCACUUUCCCUUCUUCAAUUUGCUGAUAAUUCUUUCAUACCCAAAUCAGUUUUUAGUUUAGUUCUUGUUAAUAGUUCUUCCGUUUACUUGACUUCAAGUGGAGAAUCCAAAGCUCCUUUCUUGCCUAUUGAAACUUCACAUGAACAAACCCUGAAAAGCCAAGAAUUAGCUUGUCAAACUUCCAGUUUCAGCAAUGAUUCUGUUGGAUUCGGAGUUGGGAAAACUUGUGGCCCGAAAGAAGCUCUUCUUAAAGUGUAUAUGUAUGACUUACCUCCUGAAUUUCACUUUGGGCUAUUAGGUUGGAAAGGAAGUAGGGACGACGAAACAUGGCCUAGUGUUAGUAACCCGAGCCAAAUACCCUCGUACCCUGGUGGCCUAAAUUUACAGCACAGCAUUGAGUAUUGGCUUACUCUUGAUCUUCUAUCCUCAAACAACCCAAAUAUCAAUAGACCAUGCACUGCUGUUAGAGUGCUGAAUUCUGGUGAAGCGGAUGUGAUCUUUGUGCCAUUUUUUUCGUCUUUGAGUUACAAUAGGCAUUCUAAGGUUCAAGGGAAGGAAAAAAUCAGUCUCAAUAGAAUGCUGCAGGAUAAAGUGGUGGAUUUUUUAAAAAGUAGAGAUGAGUGGAAGCGAAGGGGUGGAAAGGAUCAUGUAAUUGUUGCUCACCACCCCAAUAGUAUGUUGGAUGCAAGAGAGAAGCUUGGUUCUGCCAUGUUUGUACUUGCAGAUUUUGGAAGGUAUAGAGCCGAAAUAGCAAAUAUUGGAAAGGAUGUGAUUGCUCCUUACAAACAUAUGGUCCAGACAAUAGGUGCUGACAACUCACCCUCUUUCAGACAACGCGAUACAUUAGUUUACUUUCAAGGGGCAAUCUAUCGAAAAGAUGGUGGAGAGAUUCGUCAAAAUUUAUACAACCUUCUCAAAGAUGAAAAAGAUGUACACUUCACAUUUGGAAGCAUUCAAGCAAAUGGUGUCAGGGAGGCUGGAAGAGGAAUGGCAUCGUCCAAAUUCUGCCUGAAUAUUGCUGGAGACACUCCCUCUUCAAAUCGUCUCUUUGAUGCCAUUGCUAGCCACUGUAUUCCGGUUAUAAUUAGUGAUGAGAUUGAGCUACCAUUUGAAGAUGUUCUCGAUUACUCAGAGUUCUGUGUGUUUGUAAAUUCAUCUGAUGCUGUAAAGAAGGGUUACCUUCUGUACCUUCUUAGAGGAAUGAAGGAAGAUCAGUGGACCAAAAUGUGGGAAAGGAUAAAGGUGCUCGGCAAACAUUUUGGAUAUCAAUAUCCAUCCCAAACUGAUGAUGCAGUGGAUAUGAUUUGGCAGGCAGUUUCAAGAAAGGUGUCGUCUAUGCGACUGAAGGAUCAUCGCGACAAAAGAUAUCACAGGUCACAGCUUUUCCUCAAAGACCAGAUGUCAUGAUUAUUUAUGUGAAAUUUCUGAACAUCAUCCUGGAGUUUUUUAGGAGACCAGCUGUCAGGUCGAGCUUGAUUCUCUACUUUGUGGUCAUCGAAGGUGCAGGCGCUAUAUUCAGCUGCGUAUGUAGGUCCUGCAUUUCAGCAUCCUUAAGUAUCCGAGAAUUUCUCAGGAAAAAUAACUUGCCUCCUCCCCAUCUGAGAGCAAGAUCUAUACUUCUCAGAGCAGAAACUUCCUCUGGUUGAAUUGACAAGAACCCAAUACAAAGAAUUAGGACAAUCACCCUACAGGAAGGACACAACAUUUUUCUGCACUUUGGGGGGCAACAGAAGGAACAAAAGUGUUUUCUAGGCUGAGGUUAUGAUGAGAAAAUAAGAGGUUUGUCUGUGGCUACACUCAGCAUAUCCUGCACAGAGUGCCUGUACAUAUAAACUUGUGUUUCAUCUUUUAUGGGAUUUGCAAGACUAAAGGUACAUAAAGCAGUGAGGGUCCCAAGACAAAACAUAUAGAGAAGUUUAAGAUUCACUUCAAUCAUAAGCCUGUGAUGCUGCAAGCAAUAUAAGGCUGUUUUAGAAGACACUGACAGGUUUGAAUAAAAGUGAAGUUGGAACACCCAUUCUUUAGAAGCCAAGAAUCUAUACAUUUGUUCCCUACAUCCCUUUCAUGCUUUGCCCUUUUGGACCAAACAAUGACCAAAUCCAGUCUUUUGGACUUUAUGCCAACUCAUCUGCCAACUCAUCUAAUUAUAGUUACUACUACCUGUUCUUGAACCUCUAAGCAUUUUAAUUUUAAAGUUUUACUAACAGCUUGAGAAAGCCUA
Non-coding RNA from Nicotiana tabacum (common tobacco), 2932 nucleotides. Lineage: Eukaryota; Viridiplantae; Streptophyta; Magnoliopsida; Solanales; Solanaceae. The record is from RefSeq and is a predicted model, not a curated record.